AGAGUUUGAUCCUGGCUCAGAACGAACGCUGGCGGCGUGGAUAAGACAUGCAAGUCGAACGGGAUUAUUUCUAGUAGCAAUACCGGGAAUAAUUUAGUGGCGAACGGGUGCGUAACACGUGGGCAAUCUGCCGAGAAGUGGGGGAUAGCUCGCCGAAAGGCGAAUUAAUACCGCAUGUGGUGAGGGACGACAUCUUCCUGAAUCCAAAGCCGGGGCAACCUGGCGCUUUUUGAGGAGCCCGCGGCCUAUCAGCUAGUUGGUGAGGUAACGGCCCACCAAGGCUAUGACGGGUAGCUGGUCUGAGAGGACGACCAGUCACACUGGAACUGAGACACGGUCCAGACACCUACGGGUGGCAGCAGUCGAGAAUUUUUCUCAAUGGGGGAAACCCUGAAGGAGCGACGCCGCGUGGAGGAUGAAGGCUUUCGGGUUGUAAACUCCUGUCAUUUGGGAACAAGUUGGACGUGUUAACUGCGCGUCCAUUGAUAGUACCAGAAGAGGAAGAGACGGCUAACUCUGUGCCAGCAGCCGCGGUAAUACAGAGGUCUCGAGCGUUGUUCGGAUUCAUUGGGCGUAAAGGGUGCGUAGGUGGCGCCGUAAGUCGGGUGUGAAAUUUCGGAGCUUAACUCCGAAACUGCAUUCGAUACUGCGGUGCUUGAGGACUGGAGAGGAGACUGGAAUUCAUGGUGUAGCAGUGAAAUGCGUAGAGAUCAUGAGGAAGACCAGUGGCGAAGGCGGGUCUCUGGACAGUUCCUGACACUGAGGCACGAAGGCCAGGGGAGCAAACGGGAUUAGAUACCCUAGUAGUCC
Molecule: ribosomal RNA, 810 nt
Filed under: uncultured bacterium
Lineage: Bacteria
Description: bacterial SSU rRNA
Rfam family: Bacterial small subunit ribosomal RNA
Source: RNAcentral